RNAcentral lists this ribosomal RNA (948 nucleotides) under uncultured Lactobacillus sp. Its description in RNAcentral is "bacterial SSU rRNA". It matches the Rfam family "Bacterial small subunit ribosomal RNA", at positions 17 to 932 of the family's 1533-position model. Lineage: Bacteria; Bacillati; Bacillota; Bacilli; Lactobacillales; Lactobacillaceae. The record is from RNAcentral.
UCCUGGCUCAGGACGAACGCUGGCGGCGUGCCUAAUACAUGCAAGUCGAGCGAGCCGAACCAAUUGAUUACCUUCGGGUAUGAAGUUAGGGAAGCGAGCGGCGGAUGGGUGAGUAACACGUGGGUAACCUACCCUAUAGUCUGGGAUACCACUUGGAAACAGGUGCUAAUACCGGAUAAAAGGAGAGAUCACAUGAUUUCUUUUUGAAAGGCGGCGUAAGCUGUCGCUAAAGGAUGGACCCGCGGUGCAUUAGCUAGUUGGUAAGGUAACGGCUUACCAAGGCAACGAUGCAUAGCCGAGUUGAGAGACUGAUCGGCCACAUUGGGACUGAGACACGGCCCAAACUCCUACGGGAGGCAGCAGUAGGGAAUCUUCCACAAUGGACGCAAGUCUGAUGGAGCAACGCCGCGUGAGUGAAGAAGGUUUUCGGAUCGUAAAGCUCUGUUGUUGGUGAAGAAAGAUAGUGAGAGUAACUGCUCAUUAUUUGCCGGUAAUCAACCAGAAAGUCACGGCUAACUACGUGCCAGCAGCCGCGGUAAUACGUAGGUGGCAAGCGUUGUCCGGAUUUAUUGGGCGUAAAGCGAGCGCAGGCGGAAAGAUAAGUCAGAUGUGAAAGCCCUCGGCUUAACCGAGGAAUAGCAUCGGAAACUGUCUUUCUUGAGUGCAGAAGAGGAGAGUGGAACUCCAUGUGUAGCGGUGGAAUGCGUAGAUAUAUGGAAGUACACCAGUGGCGAAGGCGGCUCUCUGGUCUGUAACUGACGCUGAGGCUCGAAAGCAUGGGUAGCGAACAGGAUUAGAUACCCUGGUAGUCCAUGCUGUAAACGAUGAGUGCUAAGUGUUGGGAGGUUUCCGCCUCUCAGUGCUGCAGCUAACGCAUUUAGCACUCCGGCCUGGGGAGUACGACCGCAAGGUUAAACUCAAGGAAUUGACGGGGGCCCGCACAAGCGG